Molecule: long non-coding RNA, 1067 nt
Filed under: Cricetulus griseus (Chinese hamster)
Lineage: Eukaryota; Metazoa; Chordata; Mammalia; Rodentia; Cricetidae
Description: lncRNA (ENSCGRG00015038388.1)
Source: RNAcentral
CAACACUAUUUCCCUUACUCUGGCAGAGUGGAAGUUGUAACCACACUAAGUUUUAUAGCUUCAGAUAAUAUGUAUUCGGAAAAAAAGAUCUCCCUAAAGAUUUUUUUUUAUCUCAAAACAUGUGAUUCUAAUUUUAUAGGAGGGGAUGUCACUGUUUUAUUUGAAUUCUUAUGAAAAAAAAAGCAUUUUUGGUUUGCUUUUGCUUUUGCUUUCUAAAAUAGAAACCAAGAUCUAAUACACAUCAGCCAUCUAAAGUGGAUGCAGGGAACAGUUGCCAUGGGUUGGAGAGGCGGCUCAGCUGUUAAAAGCAUACUGCUAGUCUUUGUUUGUUUUCUGUUGCUGCGAUAUACACAUUAACCAAAAGCAAAGCUGGGGAGAAAAGGCUUUAUUUCAGCUUACAACUUCUGGGCCAUACUCUAUCACUGUGAGAAGCCAGGGCAAGAGCUCAGGCCGGAGCAGAUGCAGAGGCGGUAUAGAGGGGUGCACCUUACUGACUUGCUCCUCAUGGAUUGCUCAGCUUGCUGAGGACCUCCUGCGUGGGAUGGCACCAUGUAUAGGGAGCUAAGCACUCCCACAUCAACCAUAAAUCAAGAAAUUGCCAGACAUGCUUGGUGCUUUCGGCCUGGAGCCAUGUUGAUGUCCAUGACCACAGCUACAUCUCAGGCCUUUGUCUGGGUCCUUGGCCAUACUGCAACUGGGAGCCCUGUUAAUGGUCUUUGCUGAAACCAGAAGCCAAGUGGAAGCCCAUGAUCCAUGCUCCCUUGGUUCCUAAACAGCAAAUAAGCUACUUUGGCAGUGAUAUCGAUGACUGGAGAUGCACAGUUGAGAAAGAGGGACAUGGAAGACUUCUGUGACAACCCCUACCUCCACCUUCAUCCACCUCUCCCAAAAUAGUAACAGCCUAAACAGGAAACCAUCAAAAAGAACACUUAAACUGUGAUAGGAUGCUCUCCACACCAGAUAGCUUCCAGAAGGGUUGCGGGAGGGGAAGGACUCAGUCCUAUUUAAGUGACAGGCCACUGAGAGUUUGCACAUGUUCUGGUGAGUAUAUAAACAACACAAAUUGG